This 232-nucleotide long non-coding RNA is filed under the name Vigna radiata. RNAcentral describes it as "long non-coding RNA (VRAD_LNC009987)". The record is from RNAcentral. Lineage: Eukaryota; Viridiplantae; Streptophyta; Magnoliopsida; Fabales; Fabaceae.
CAAAACCUACUACAAAUCUAAGUCCUAAACAUUUAAACUACAAUUAUUACAAAAGCUUUUAAUAACAAAAAUAAGUCUUCAAAGGAUCUUCGUGAAUCUUAAUAUAUCUUGACUUCAUUUGGACAUCAUCAAAACUUCAUCUUCAUCAUUUUGCUAACAAGAGCUUGGCUGAAGCUAUAAAUACUGUUAUCAACCUGCUUGCUUGCCCCUACCACAACCUUUUCGUCACCCU